Molecule: ribosomal RNA, 422 nt
Filed under: uncultured prokaryote
Description: bacterial SSU rRNA
Rfam family: Bacterial small subunit ribosomal RNA
Source: RNAcentral
UGAGGAAUAUUGGUCAAUGGGCGUAAGCCUGAACCAGCCAUCCCGCGUGAAGGAAGAAGGCGCUAUGCGUCGUAAACUUCUUUUCCAGAGGAAGAAAACCCCCGACGAGUCGGGGCUUGCCGGUACUCUGGGAAUAAGCAUCGGCUAACUCCGUGCCAGCAGCCGCGGUAAUACGGAGGAUGCAAGCGUUAUCCGGAUUUAUUGGGUUUAAAGGGUGCGUAGGCGGAUUAAUAAGUCAGUGGUGAAAACCUUCAGCUUAACUGGAGAACUGCCAUUGAUACUGUUAGUCUUGAGUACGGUCAAGGUAGGCGGAAUGUGUAAUGUAGCGGUGAAAUGCUUAGAUAUUACACAGAACACCGAUUGCGAAGGCAGCUUACUGGGCCAUUACUGACGCUGAGGCACGAAAGCGUGGGGAGCGAACA